AAUAAGAUCAUGUUUCAGUUUUUGAUACAAUGUUUUGACUCUUCAUCUUAUUUAAAUUUUUUUCAAUUAAUAUUCUUAUUCUUACUAGAUGAUAAAACAUAAAUAGUACUUUAUGCCUGACUAAUUUUUUUAAUUUUUUCUAUAAAUUUUUUAAAUAAGACAAAUGGUCUGGACAUGGAAAAACGAAAAAUGGAGUUACC
Molecule: microRNA precursor, 200 nt
Filed under: Oryza brachyantha (malo sina)
Lineage: Eukaryota; Viridiplantae; Streptophyta; Magnoliopsida; Poales; Poaceae
Description: MIR812 microRNA precursor family
Rfam family: MIR812 microRNA precursor family
Source: Rfam by way of RNAcentral